UGUAGGAGCUGCCGAAGGCUGCGAUCUUUUGAUCUUGAUCUUUAAAAACAAAAUCAAAAGAUCGCAGCCUUCGGCAGCUCCUGCA
Molecule: unclassified non-coding RNA, 85 nt
Filed under: Pseudomonas koreensis
Lineage: Bacteria; Pseudomonadati; Pseudomonadota; Gammaproteobacteria; Pseudomonadales; Pseudomonadaceae
Source: RNAcentral